AUUGAACGCUGGCGGCAGGCUUAACACAUGCAAGUCGAGCGAGCGGCGGACGGGUGAGUAAUGUAUGGGAAACUGCCUGAUGGAGGGGGAUAACUACUGGAAACGGUAGCUAAUACCGCAUACCAUCAGAUGUGCCCAGAUGGGAUUAGCUAGUAGGUAGGGUAAUGGCUUACCUAGGCGACGAUCCCUAGCUGGUCUGAGAGGAUGACCAGCCACACUGGAACUGAGACACGGUCCAGACUCCUACGGGAGGCAGCAGUGGGGAAUAUUGCGCAAUGGGGGCAAGCCUGAUGCAGCCAUGCCGCGUGUGUGAAGAAGGCCUUCGGGUUGUAAAGCUCUUUCAGCGGGGAGGCGUUACUCACAGAAGAAGCACCGGCUAACUCCGUGCCAGCAGCCGCGGUAAUAC
RNAcentral lists this ribosomal RNA (406 nucleotides) under uncultured bacterium. Its description in RNAcentral is "partial 16S ribosomal RNA". It matches the Rfam family "Bacterial small subunit ribosomal RNA", at positions 30 to 526 of the family's 1533-position model. The record is from RNAcentral.